CUCACCAAAUUAAGGAUCCUGGAUAUUUAUGACUGCCCACAGUUAGAAGAAAGUUGCACCAAUAGGAGAAGCCCAAACUCCCAGUGGUCCAACAUUUCCCAUAUUCCAAAAAUUAUAGUAGGUCUGUGGGUAAUUCAGGAGUCAGGACAGUAAGUCUCUGUUACUCUUUCAGUUUCUGAGUUUUAAUACUACUUUUUUUACUGCUAUCAAUUACAUCUGUGCUAUGCUUCCAGCAUUUUGCUUGUCAACUUGAACCGAAUUGUUCUUCUUCUAAUUCUUCAAGUAUGUCAUAUCUCCAUAUGAUUUAAUCAUGAAUGAAAAAUUAUGGAUUUUUUCCUUAUAGGUUACUAGCUCCAAGGUAACGUUGCUGUGGUAAAUCAAGCCAAAUCCUAUGAGCAGCAGGCAAUUACUUUAGGUAAAUUUUCAUUUAGGUAAUCUACUAGUUUUUUGUCUUUCUCUUUGUUGGGGACCAAUUUUUGGAGUUCUAUGCUGAUGAAUACAACAUUACCUUCCUAAAAAAGAUGUUUUAAUCAUGAAAAUUUAUGUUUCUGCUCAGAGGUUACUAGGUACAAGGUCAUGGUAGAACGUGGUUGUGGUAUAUCAAGUCAAAAUCCAUGAACAGCAAUCGCCUUAGGUAUUUUUAUUUAGUUGUUAUAGGAAUGCUAUAACAAGUUUGUCAAGUUCCUUUUUUCUCAUGAUACUACUUUACUGUUUAACAGGAUUUGUUAUGUUUCAUAGAGGAAUCACCACUGUUAUUUUGAAGAACACAAUCUUCAGCUAUAGACUCAUUACGGAGCACUUUUUCACAAGUAUUUGGGUACUGAACAACCUUUUCGGGAACUGAAGUCUACAUAUGAAACAUCAAAAAACUCAAAGUGUAUAGGGUCCUCAAUGAGAAGCUACACUGGUCUAUCCUCUGUCUUUGCAUGGCCGUGUUUGUCUUUUUAUUAUCCAUGUAAGUUUCUGCAAUGUUAUUUGAUGAAUAAAUUCUGAUAUCUACUCUCAUUGGGACAUUGGUAUUUAACUUUCUAUGUAAUUGUGGAACUAUUAGAAUGUAAGCUGUUUUAUCCCUUUUGCCAGAGCUUCAUUCUUCAUAAAUUCAGUGUUUUACUUUCUCACAGUAUUAAUGUCUGACCCUCCCCUCUCCCAACCGGUACGAAAUAAGAAAAAUCUCAGUAUUUGUCAUACCUAUUCAGGUGCUAUGAUGAAGAUGACAGAAGCAAUGGAUGGUUGGUGCCAUUGAAAUCUGUUUGUGAGGUAUUCAUGACUUGCAGCUCAAUUGAUUGUAUCCAUGGAGGUUGUUGUGGUUUAAAUGCACUAUUAACUGCACCUCACUGUCAUGCCAGCCACGUCUUAUUCUCCUAGAUUCCUUUGGAUAAGAAAACUGCUCAUUCUCUUCAAGUAUAGAGAAGCAUUCAGUGGCUUAUCAUAACUGGUAAAUGUAGAGAAGGAAUAAUUGUCUUUCUGCCAUGUGAAUUUUCAUAUUUUAUGGUACAAGGUUCCUUUUUUAUUGACUAAUUGAUGAAACGCUAGAGGUAACAGAACCAUUUCACUGAAAGCCACUAACAUAAGCUUUGAUGCAAGACAGAUUUGAGUGCGCUCUGUCCAUUGGAUUGAAGGAUUCUCUGUUCUGCUUAUUGAACCACGAUUUCCAUGUAAGCUUCUUCUAAAGAAAAAACUGACCGAAAUGUCAUGAGACUUGUAUAGCUAGUAGAACUUCUCCAGUUUUUGUUGACUGCAUUCAACAAUAUUCCUUUUUCCUUUUUAAUUUUCAGGGGACAGAUUGGAACAUUUUGCUUCAGUGGUGACUGUGGUUAGUAGAGAGGUCUAUAUAAGUUUCUUAAUAGACAUUCUCGUUACUUUCACUUUCAUUAAAACUCUCGCGAUUGAAGGACUUCAACAAAGAAAGUUACAAAAGACUGCUAUUUAUUGAAUCUUAUAGCAAAGAGUGCCCCCAUUGGCUCUAAAAAUGUCCUUAAUAGCAUCUGUUCAUCUUUAUAGAUCUUAUAAUGAGCUGAUUUUCCAUUCAUGAAGAUCAAAAUGUGUGUGAAAACUGACUUUUACUGUUUCAGAUUGAUGGUUGAAACAACGGCAUGGACCUCUUAUCUAAAUCGUAGACUGGAAAAGAUUUGACAGCAGAGGCCUUUCUUGCACAAUGUUCAUGCUGUCCCUGCCUUUCUUACAGCCCUCUUGGCUUUUGUUUGUGCAUAAUAAACAAAAAAAAGUAAUAUUGCUUUAAUGUUUGUCUUAAUUGAUUGAUGUUUCAUGCUAGUAAUUAGUAAAUAUUCUUUGCAAAAUACUUCAUAUGCUAAAGCAAAUAUCAAUUAAGCUCAAUUAAUCUAAAGUUGAAAAGCC
RNAcentral lists this long non-coding RNA (2355 nucleotides) under Solanum tuberosum (potato). RNAcentral describes it as "long non-coding RNA (STUB_LNC010227)". Lineage: Eukaryota; Viridiplantae; Streptophyta; Magnoliopsida; Solanales; Solanaceae. The record is from RNAcentral.